AGGCCCCGUUUUCUUCCACUGACUUAUUUUUAGCACCCGUCACAUCGAAUGUUUAGAUACUAAUUAGGAGUAUUAAACGUAGACUAUUUACAAAACCCAUUACAUAAGACGAAUCUAAACGGCGAGACGAAUCUAUUAAGCCUAAUUAGUCCAUGAUUUGACAAUGUGUUGCUACAGUAAACAUUUGCUAAUGAUGGAUUAAUUAGGCGUAAUUAGGCUUAAUAGAUUCGUCUCGCCAUUUAGAUUCGUCUUAUGUAAU
This 259-nucleotide long non-coding RNA is filed under the name Setaria italica (foxtail millet). RNAcentral's name for it is "long non-coding RNA (SITA_LNC001384)". The record is from RNAcentral. Lineage: Eukaryota; Viridiplantae; Streptophyta; Magnoliopsida; Poales; Poaceae.